Molecule: long non-coding RNA, 511 nt
Organism: Vidua chalybeata
Lineage: Eukaryota; Metazoa; Chordata; Aves; Passeriformes; Viduidae
Exons: 4
Source: RefSeq, a predicted model, not a curated record
AGGGACCUACAACGAUCAUCUCAUCCAACUGCCUGAGAAAUCUAGGGCUGGCCAAAAAUUAGAGUAUGUCAUUAAGGGCAUUGUGCAAAUGCCUCAAACACUGACAGGCUUGGAGCAUUGCCCACCUCUCUAGAAAACUGUUCUGGCGUUUGACCACACUCAUGGAAGCUGCUCCUCACAGGACAUGCCUUCCAGCCCCCUCACCAGUUUUGUUGCUCCCCUAUGGAGGCACUUGAGUACCUUAACAGCCUUACAUUGUGGGACCCAGAACUGCACACAGCACUCCAGGAAAGGAGGAAACCACACAUAAGCUACCAGAUGGAUAAUCCUUGUAGUCAAUUGAGGAGCAAGUGAGCCAGAACAUUCUGCACACAACAGAAGCCCUCUCUGAUCACGUAAAGAGUUUGUUUAGAAAUGAAGAUGGCUAACAAGAAGCACAGCUGCCACAUUUUUUCUCAGAUUAUCUGUACCUUUCCAUGUGGUAAUGACAAAUUAAAUCUGUAUUAAUUCA